GGGGCUAAAAAUUCAAUCUAGCCAUCCAAUCGAUGGACUGAAGGUGCCAUAGCUUCAUAUCAUUGAAUGGAAUGUGUAGGAAUAAUCUGUUCGAGAAUCAAAAGAGUAUAUUGAAAGAUACACCUCCGUAUCAAAAUUUAGUAAUAUUAUUUUAUUUUUUUCAUCAUAAGAUGUUGAGAUAUCCAACUCUCAUCCAUCAAUUAUAGGAGAGGAGCAGGAGGAGGAGGAUGCAGACGA
RNAcentral lists this long non-coding RNA (237 nucleotides) under Elaeis guineensis (African oil palm). RNAcentral describes it as "long non-coding RNA (EGUI_LNC058236)". Lineage: Eukaryota; Viridiplantae; Streptophyta; Magnoliopsida; Arecales; Arecaceae. The record is from RNAcentral.